AACCUUUGACAUGUCCCGUAUGAGCACCAGAGAUGGAGCUCUUCAGUUCGGCUGGCGGGAACACAGGUGCUGCAUGGCUGUCGUCAGCUCGUGUCGUGAGAUGUUGGGUUAAGUCCCGCAACGAGCGCAACCCUCGCCCUUAGUUGCCAUCAUUCAGUUGGGCACUCUAAGGGGACUGCCGGUGAUAAGCCGCGAGGAAGGUGGGGAUGACGUCAAGUCCUCAU
This 224-nucleotide ribosomal RNA is filed under the name uncultured bacterium. Its description in RNAcentral is "partial 16S ribosomal RNA". It matches the Rfam family "Bacterial small subunit ribosomal RNA", at positions 980 to 1196 of the family's 1533-position model. The record is from RNAcentral.